Brassica oleracea var. oleracea is the source of this 285-nucleotide long non-coding RNA. RefSeq lists it as uncharacterized. The transcript is spliced from 3 exons. The record is from RefSeq and is a predicted model, not a curated record. NCBI's taxonomy places the organism in Eukaryota, Viridiplantae, Streptophyta, Magnoliopsida, Brassicales, Brassicaceae.
CAGGAGAUACUUGCUUUUUAUGGAAGGCUACAGCUAAAUUUGACAAGAGGAUCUAGUGAAUCUAGUUCUCUGGUGGAACAACUUUUGAACGUGGUUACUAGUGAACUGGAUCUUGGUAGUUCAUCAAGUUCUGCAUCAUGGGGUGAUUCAACCAAGGAUGGGACAUUGAGCAGCUAUCAGAAUAGCUUGGUUGAGUUGGCUGCACAUGUGCUCUACCGGGCAGUUGUCAAUACUACUAGAUCAUCACUGUCAGAGAAACGAGCUCGAAGGCAACAUAUUACAUUG